UUAAAGUAUCAGUAAGAACAUACAUAUCAAUCAUUACCUUAAAUGUAAAUGGAUUAAAUGCUCCAACCAAAGGACACAGACUGGCUGAAUGGAUACAAAAACAGAACCCUAAUGUACGCUGCCUACAAGAGACUCACUUCAGAUCUGGAGACACAUACAGAUGGAAAGAGAGAGGACGUAAAGAAGUAUUCCAUGCAAAUGGAAAUCAAAAGGAAGCUGGAGUAGCAAUACUUCCAUCAGAUAAAAUGUCUUUAAAAUUAAGACUGCUAAAAGAGACCAAAAAGGACACUACGUAAUGAACAAGGGAUCAAUCCAAGGAAAAGAUAUAACAAUUUUAAGUAUAUGUGCACUCAGCAUAAUUAAACAUAUAAGCUUUUGCACAGCAAAGGAAACCAUAAA
Molecule: non-coding RNA, 399 nt
Organism: Vicugna pacos (alpaca)
Lineage: Eukaryota; Metazoa; Chordata; Mammalia; Artiodactyla; Camelidae
Source: RefSeq, a predicted model, not a curated record